RNAcentral lists this ribosomal RNA (443 nucleotides) under uncultured bacterium. RNAcentral's name for it is "partial 16S ribosomal RNA". It matches the Rfam family "Bacterial small subunit ribosomal RNA", at positions 338 to 795 of the family's 1533-position model. The record is from RNAcentral.
CCUACGGGGUGCAGCAGUGGGGAAUAUUGGGCAAUGGGCGCAAGCCUGACCCAGCAACGCCGCGUGAAGGAAGAAGGCUUUCGGGUUGUAAACUUCUUUUCUCAGGGACGAAGCAAGUGACGGUACCUCAGGAAUAAGCCACGGCUAACUACGUGCCAGCAGCCGCGGUAAUACGUAGGUGGCAAGCGUUAUCCGGAUUUAUUGGGUGUAAAGGGCGUGUAGGCGGGAAAGCAAGUCAGAUGUGAAAACUCUGGGCUCAACCCAUAGCCUGCAUUUGAAACUGUAUUUCUUGAGUGCUGGAGAGGCAAUCGGAAUUCCGUGUGUAGCGGUGAAAUGCGUAGAUAUACGGAGGAACACCAGUGGCGAAGGCGGAUUGCUGGACAGUAACUGACGCUGAGGCGCGAAAGCGUGGGGAGCAAACAGGAUUAGAUACCCUUGUAGUC